Molecule: ribosomal RNA, 481 nt
Filed under: Guimaraesiella sp. IZGAS 6_J0711
Lineage: Eukaryota; Metazoa; Arthropoda; Insecta; Psocodea; Philopteridae
Also listed under: 1 other name
Description: partial large subunit ribosomal RNA
Rfam family: Bacterial large subunit ribosomal RNA
Source: RNAcentral
CUCUUCCCGUAAUAUAUAGGAAGUAGGAUCUGCUCCAUGCUUAGGUAAAUUGCCGCAGUAUUUUGACUGUGCUAAGGUAGCAAAAUAAAUUGGCUCUUCAUUGGAGUCUGGAAUGAAUGAUUUGACAAGGUCUAUUCUGUCUCACUUGUUAGAGUAGAAAUUGGAUUGUCUGUAAAAAUACAGUCAUGAAGGAGAGGGACGAAAAGACCCUAUAGAUCUUUACUUUUCUUCUCUAAAAUUCUCUCUAGUUUUAGAUUGGGAAAGUUUACUUGGGAUAAGACUAAAAACGAAUUUUGGUGGUAGAUGAAGAUUGAUUAAUCAAAAAGAAGAUUAAAAUAAAAGAGAAGUUACCUUAGGGAUAACAGGAUAAUUCCUUUACUUAGAACUUAUAGAUAAAGGAGCUUAUUACCUCGAUGUUGAAUUAAGUUAUCUUUCAUUUGAAGAAGAAUGAGGAGUCAGUCUGUUCGACUGUUAAAAACUU